UAAAACAAUUAUUUCCGAAAUCUUCGUUAUAUAAUCUUUGCAACAAUAAUAAUGGUGUAAACGGGACUUUGUUUUUAUUUUCAACAGGAAAGAUAACUUCUUUUUUAGUGACAGUAACGAAAACUCCCCUCUCCACAAUAAUUAUAAGAUUGUGACUGCCGAUUUUAUUAUUUCUAGCGUGACGGAUACAAGCGUUAAAGUGAGAGAGAUUUUCCUACAUUAUUUGAAGCGUGAAGUUUUUAUUAUUUGAAGCGUAAAGUUUUUAUUAUUUGAAGCGUGAAGUUUUUAUUAUUUGAAGCGUGAAGAUUUUAUUAUUUCAAGUGUGACGGGAGUCAAGCGUCGAUGCGAGAGAGACCGUCACCUGAAAAGGCCAUGUGCUGUGCGAUUAUAAACAAGAAGCCGACGUCAGACAAAGCUUAAGCUUCCUAGGAUGAAAAUCAACAUGAUUUGUACUCCGGCAAUGACAUGGCACUCAGAAGAAAGCUGGCUGAAGUGAAUGUGGAGAAGAACAAUGGAACAAGAGAGAUUCCAGCUGGGUUGGAUUAGCUGGGCAUCAGCAGGGGCAUUAGCCAAAGACAGAGGCAGAUCAUGAGAUGUAUGGAUAUUGUCCUAAGUAAGAACUAACCUGGCAAUGUUGGAAUGAAAUUUACAGGAGCUACAAAGAGUUUUGGUUUUUAGAUGUAUAAAUGUUCUAAAGAAAGAAAACAGUGUUGUAAAGAAAGAAAAGGAUUAUUAACUUAAAGAAAUAUGGAUGACAAGUACCUCCAGUGAAUGAUGUCAUAUCCAGCUUUGAAAAUGUUUUGUUAGAAAGAAAAGGACCUGAAGAAGGAGAAAGAUCUAUUUUAUAGAUUUAGAUGGAUUGAUAAACUGUCAAAGCUAUUGCUAUCACUAAAUUUUGUACAAUGCUUGUAAUUCUUUAUCACUGAGUCUAUGAGCCUUCUGACAUUAUAGUGUAUCUAAUCUGAGAAAUCAGUGUCCAUACGAUAUCAAUCUUGAAACAUUUCAAGAUAACCAUAUAUCAAUACAUAAUAUGUACAGAUUUAUUAGCAGAUGAAAACUCUACACAAACUGGAUACUGAUAAGUUACUGAAAUUUAGAGAUGUUUUACUUGGUGUGGAUUGAUUUAAGAAAAAAAAAUCUGAAACAAUAUAAUAAACUUAUUACUCCAG
Molecule: long non-coding RNA, 1169 nt
Organism: Saccostrea cuccullata (small rock oyster)
Lineage: Eukaryota; Metazoa; Mollusca; Bivalvia; Ostreida; Ostreidae
Exons: 5
Source: RefSeq, a predicted model, not a curated record